Molecule: long non-coding RNA, 457 nt
Filed under: Oryza sativa Indica Group (long-grained rice)
Lineage: Eukaryota; Viridiplantae; Streptophyta; Magnoliopsida; Poales; Poaceae
Description: lncRNA OsMH63_03G026460
Source: RNAcentral
AUGAUGCUAGGCCGAACCAAUUAUAUAUAUAAUGAGAUAGCAAGCUUGCCGAUACAGGCAAAGAGUGCAACUUUUGGCCAUCUUGAUCCCCUCGUCACCCUUUCUUUCUUGGCUACUCCUCCGCUUGAUCUCUCACACUCAACCUUGAGAAGCCAACGGUGGGGAGCACUUGAGGCACAUGAGGGCAGUGAUUCCAGCUGGGAGCUCUGGAGACCUCAACCUGGAGCCAAAUCACAACCCAGCAGCAGGUGGAAGAUCCGGCAUGAAGGAGCUUGCCACCUCACCCUUAUGUUCAAAAGGGGAAGGAGGAAUGAGAGGUCAAGUUUUUGUUGGAUGGGGAGCGAGCAAGAGCUGGACUCGAACGGGAUUAGUGGGAAGGAUGAGAAUGCAGAUUCUGACUCAAUAUGCCCAUCCCAAGAGCUUGGAAGAUGGGUACUUAUGUUCUAACGGACAAGAG